This is a long non-coding RNA of Chelonia mydas (Green sea turtle), 191 nucleotides long. RefSeq lists it as uncharacterized. Lineage: Eukaryota; Metazoa; Chordata; Testudines; Cheloniidae. The transcript is spliced from 3 exons. The record is from RefSeq and is a predicted model, not a curated record.
UUCGCGGUUCUUUUCCUGUCUACCUGGCCAUCCAUAAAAAUUCAGUCUUCACUCUUAGGUUGUUUGCAACAAGUCAGAGACAGUUUAUUCUCAAGCAAUUGCAAGGGGGAGAGUGCGCAUGGACAGGGAUUCCCCCUUCCUAGGCAGGUCUCCGCCCGAUAAACAAUUAGGACAAGCAUUUAUACCUUUUG